AAGCUGUAUCACUAUGAAUGAAGUGGUAUUCUCUAUAGAGUAUGUAUCUAUAUAGAAGUCAUAAGAUCUGACCAUCAGAACACUGGCUGGCUGGAGGAUUGUUUUGUUCUAAGUUUAUGACAUUCCUCAUAUUUGCAUAUGUUUAUCAUCACCAUAAAGCAGAGGAAGUUGAAAGAGGUGGCAGAGACAGACAGCAACAUGAGAUCCCAGGAAGCCAUUCUGUCACUACAAUUCUCUAACCCCCUCCAUGGAAGAAUCUGAGAAGGAACAUCUCAGUGCUUAGGACAGCCAAGUCAGAACAUCCUGACCUUGGCACAUAUGAUCCUGAGUACUUAGUUUCACCAUGAAUUUUAGUUGGGAAUUCACAAAUCUGUCAUACACAACAAGAUACAAGCUUUUGAAGUCAGGAUCUAGAACACCGUUUCUCCGACAAAGGCACAGUGUUCCAAGCCCUAGCAAAAAGCAGGAUUUGGAUAAGAAAUCAAUUAAACCAGAACUUUUCCUCCCUUGAUCAGUAGAAUGAUUGAGCAGCUCCAGGUUCCAAAUUCUCUCUGGCUGGAGGAAAUUGUUCUCACUUUGUGAAGUUUCCUGGGCUGUGUAUGUUUCUGGUUUUGAACAAUAAUCAGACACUGUUCUGCUCAUUAGGUUAAUAAGCUUUGUUCUCACCUUACCAAGUCUGUCCUUUCUCCUGUCCCUUUGUGGGGGGAUUGGGUUGGCUAGGGUCUUUGUUGAAA
Mesocricetus auratus (golden hamster) is the source of this 734-nucleotide long non-coding RNA. RefSeq lists it as uncharacterized. The record is from RefSeq and is a predicted model, not a curated record. NCBI's taxonomy places the organism in Eukaryota, Metazoa, Chordata, Mammalia, Rodentia, Cricetidae. The transcript is spliced from 3 exons.